RNAcentral lists this small RNA (128 nucleotides) under Marmota monax (woodchuck). Lineage: Eukaryota; Metazoa; Chordata; Mammalia; Rodentia; Sciuridae. The record is from RNAcentral.
GCUGGGUGCAGUGAUGUAUGCCUGUAAUCCCAGUGACUCAGGAGGCUGAGGCAGGAGGAUCAUGAGCUCAAAACCCAGCCUCAGCAAUUUAGCAAGGCCCUAAGCAACUCAGUGAGACCCUGUCUCUA